UUAUGGAUGUACCGGUAUGUUAUAUUGUCUUUAUAUUCCAGCGAGUUAAUCCAUUUUGGGGGGAGUUGAGGGGAUAAUUUAAUUAUGAUGCGUUCAAGAGUCUAACGGCUUGAGGGAAGAAGCUGUUACAGAACCUGGAGGUUCUGCUUCGGAGGCUGUGGAACCUCUUUCUAGAGUCCAGCAGUGAAAACAGUCCUUGGUGGGGGGUGGGAGGAGUCUUUGCAGAUUUUCUGAGCCCUGGUCAGGCAGCGGCUUUUUGCGAUCUCCUAGUUGAAGCUGUAAUAGCUGCAAAAGGUGGACCGACAUCAUAUUGAACCCUGUGGGUUAGGAAUGGGAUGGCACUUCAAGUUCAUAUGUGAGUCAAGGCAGGUGGCCAAAUACUUUUGGCAAUAUAGUGUAGCUUACAUGCUGCAAGCUGGAAGAGGGCAGGAUAUAAUGCUAGCAACACGUUGGAAAGUUGCAAACAUCCCGUUUAAUUUCACAAACUUUUGAAUGCAUGUUUGAUUGUUCAAUGUUUCAUAACUUGCUUUUUUCAACAAGGAACUAAACAACAAAAUUCGCAACAGGUGUUUGUUUCAUCAGUCGACCAAUACAUUACCUGGUUGAAAUAGAUCCCUGUUACAAGAAACAUUGAAAAGUUGGACAUCUGUCUUUUUUUACCUGUAAGAUUAUAGUUUAUUAUUCCCCAAGUCAAGGGCUGGGGGCCAGAUCUUGCCCGCCACGGGUCCGCCACAUUAUUUGAUGUAGUCUGCCACAUUAUUUCAUAUGGCCAUGUCAUUCUUGUGGCCUCUGAAAGGCUGGACAUAGUUAAUGUAACCCAUAUUCUAAAUCAGUGGUUCUCAACCUUUGUUCAGUGAUGUACCCCCUGUGAACAUUUUUUUAGUUCAAGUACCCCCUAAUCAGAGCAAAGCAUUUUUGGUUGAAAAAAAGAGAUACAGAAGUAAAAUACAGCACUAUGUCAUCAGUUUCUGAUUUAUUAAAUUGUAUAACAGUGCAAAAUAUUGCUAAUUUGUAGUGGUCUUUCUUGAACUAUUUGGAAACAAAUAUAAAAAUAACUAAAAACUUGUUGAAAAAUAAACAAGUGAUUAAAUUAUAAAUAAAGAUUUCUACACAUAGAAGUAAUCAUCAACUUAAAGUGCCCUAUUUGGGGAUUGUAAUAGAGAUCCAUCUGGAUUGAUGAACUUAAUUCUAAACAUUUCUUCAAAAAAAAAGAAGAAAUCUUUAACAUCAAUAUUUAUGGAACAUGUCCACAAAAAACCUAGCUGUCAACACUGAAUAUUGCAUUGUUGCAUUGUAAUGAAUGGAAUAGCCUACUUGAUUUGAUGUUCAGUUUAUGAACUUACAUUCAUAUUUUGUUGAAGUAUUAUUCAAUAAAUAUAUUUAUAAAGGAUUUUUGAAUUGUUGCUAUUUUUAGAAUAUUAAAAAAAAAAUCUCACGUACCCCUUGGCAUACCUUCAAGUACCCCCAGGGGUACGCGUACCCCCAUUUGAGAACCACUGUUCUAAAUACCCAUUAAAAACAUGCAUACAGUGCAAAGACUUUUAUUGUGGAGGGUUGCUUCCUGCCGCUCACUUCCUUAGUGCUGCUCACUUCACCACCCCCUCCCGUACCUGCUGUGCUGUGAGACGCGCUUGAGAAGAAACUCGCAAAAUCUUCUCAUUCUCCCACUUUGCAAACUUCAUAAUUAGAGCCUCCCUGUUCGAUUGACUAUCGGGGCGUGCAUGGGAUGUUGUUUUGCCCUCGAUUACUCAGGUCAGGUUUUUUUUCCGGGAAGGAAUACCCGUUGACCCAAACAACCUGAGCUCCCUAUCCAUCUUCAAACUCAAUUCAACAAAUGGCGAGCUAAACAACUACGCGCGUUUCAGGAGUAGAAGAGAAAGCUGUAGCUGAUCCUCAAGUAGACGACUGUGGCUUCCAAGAAGUAAAACAGGCUGGCAAUUGUUUUCCUUAGAGGACGCCGGGAAGCGUGUCUGGUAACACUCAUUAGUCAUUUUUCUUUUACGGCGCAGAUGGGGUUGGCAGCAUAAACGUUAGUCGGAACAAAAAAUGUAGACUAAGCCAGAGAGGUUGACGGUGAUGAAUUCAUGUCACAGGGCUAUUCUGAAGAAGAGCCUAGAUUUUAGUAAUAAGUGCAUUCUUAACUGCAGGCAGCAAUAACAGAAUACGUAUUUGAAUUCAACUAACUUUCUCUGAUCGAUAAUUUUAAUGGAAAAUCUUUCUCUGAAUAGUCUCAACCUAUGUUUCCAUGCUGGUGUCCUAUUGAGUUUGCAGUGACUGAGACGUGAGUGAUCGUCUGCUUCUAGGACCUGUGCAAAUUGGUA
Nerophis lumbriciformis (worm pipefish) is the source of this 2321-nucleotide long non-coding RNA. RefSeq lists it as uncharacterized. Lineage: Eukaryota; Metazoa; Chordata; Actinopteri; Syngnathiformes; Syngnathidae. The record is from RefSeq and is a predicted model, not a curated record.